CUUUUCGACAUGCCAGUAACAUCGUAAGUCGACGCGAAUUAUGAUCUGAUUUUCAGUUCUCUCACUGCUAAUUUCGUGAAGAAUGAAUCAGAGGCGAAAUGCAUCAUCUAAAUCACAACCCACUAAACCCUUAAUAACCAAAAACCCUGAUAUCUCCAAACAAAAAGGAUACAAAUCCCAGAAGUCCAAUUUCUUUUCGUCUGAAAAGAAUAUCUUUACACUCUGUUUGGCAUUCCGAAUUGCCAAUUCGCUGUUGAUUCAAACUUAUUUCAAUCCAGAUGAGCACUGGCAAGCCCUUGAAGUUGCCCAUCGAAUUGUAUUUGGGUAUGGUCAUCUGACAUGGGAAUGGAGGAAGGGGAUUCGUAGCUAUUUCCAUCCGUUGGUGUUUGCUGUGCUGUACAAAGUUCUUGCACUGUUUGGUCUUGAUACUCCAUGGUUCAUGGCACACGCACCACGGUUGCUGCAAGCCCUGUUUUCUGCAGUUGGUGAUUUAUAUUUCUACAAACUUUCAAAUGCUAUCUUUGGCAAUUUUGUGGCAAAAUGGGCACUUUUUUCUCAAUUGGCAAACUGGUUCAUGUUUUUCUGCUUCAACCGUACAUUGUCAAAUAGUUUGGAAACAGUUCUUACACUGGUCGGAUUAUACUACUGGCCCUGUAUGAGAGCUUCUCCGAGCAAAGUUCCCCUGGUUUUAAGGAAGUGGGGUUUGGCUAUAGCAGCAUUAGCUUGUGCAAUCCGGCCAACAAGUGCUAUUACAUGGGUCUAUGUUGGCCUUCUUGAGCUGGCUGUAACACGUGAUAGAUUAAAAUUCCUUGUUCUGGAGGUGGUCCCCAUUGGGGCUUUGGUGCUUGCGCUUUCAUGUUUAUUGGAUCGUUUGAUGUAUGGCUCAUGGGUCAUUGUACCUCUUAAUUUUCUCAAGUUCAAUUUUCUUUCAUCUGGCGGAGAUUAUUACGGAACUCACAAGUGGCACUGGUACUUCUCUCAGGGAUUUACAGUCAUGCUCUUCACAUUCUUACCAUUUUCAGUUGCUGGCAGCAUAAAGUCUAAAUGCUGGAAGCUCUCUGGACUCAUUGCAUGGGUUUUAAUUGUUUACAGUAUUCAGGGGCAUAAAGAAUUCAGGUUUGUCUUGCCUAUGCUCCCGAUAGCUUUGAUGUUCUCUGGAUAUUCGUUAGCUGUUAUGGCAAAAUCUGAUUCUGAUAGUAGAAGAAAAGGUUCUCCUAACAGUCGCAUGAAAAGGCCCUCAAAAGUGGGAUUUGCCAUCUUUGUCUUGCUUGCCACUAACAUUCCGAUGGCCUUGUACAUGAGCUUGGUUCAUCAGAGAGGAACUGAGGAUGUCAUGAUUUAUCUAUCCAAAGAAGCGCAAAAUGAGAAAGUAAAGGGUAUCCUGUUUCUAAUGCCCUGCCAUGCCACUCCUUACUACUCCACACUGCAUUAUGAUCUGCCAAUGCGUAAUCUGGAUUGUUCUCCAAGUGAAGAGAAAGGAAUCCCAGAUGAAUCAGACCACUUCAUGAUGGAUCCUGUUAGUUUUGUAUCCACACUGAUGACAAACGGGUCUUUGCCUAGUCAUGUUGUAUUAUUUGAUUCUGAGGAGAAGUUGUUAAGAGAUUUUCUGAUUUCACAUUCUUUCACAGAGAUAAGAAGGUUUUUCCAUGCCCACUUCAAGGUGGACCGUGAUCUUCAAGCAUCAGUGGUUGUAUAUGCUUUGGCUAACUAGUGUGAUUGUCAUUGUCACACCAUAGUGCCAUGAUGUUUGAAAAAACAUUAUCCAAACGCAUCAUCAUGAUCCUUGAUUGGCAUCUCUUAGAAGUUAACAAUUGAGAAGUGCUAAAUCAACAGUCGAAUUAUGUGGGAAGACAGCACAGCCCUGAAAACCUAUGUCAAGUCUUGUUGGUGGGUGGAGUUGAAUGAGCCCAUUUGCAGCUAGAUUAGGCUCCUAAAGAGAGGGAAAAAAAAGCUGUGCAAGGACCCCAUCUUGGAACAGGAGGUUCAUGAAUGUAAUUGCAAGCAUAGGCUCUAUAGUUAUGGGUCAGUUUAUUUUAUAUAGGUGCCAAUUUUCUUAAGAAAAGUUGGAUUUGUUAAAUUUACUGUACACCUAUUAUUGUAGCAAGAAAUAAACCAGCCAGCAUCACUGAGACUCUCUGGCUGGAGUGGGAUGUAGACAAACUACAGUAGAACAAAGAUUUAUUUGUCGGUUGGUUUGGUCGGUUUAUACUGAUAAUGUGCUCUGUAUUACAACUUCAUUGUUUACAUGGAGAAACGGAAAUGAAAUAGAAUUUCAGAACGAGAAA
Molecule: RNA transcript, 2285 nt
Organism: Populus nigra (black poplar)
Lineage: Eukaryota; Viridiplantae; Streptophyta; Magnoliopsida; Malpighiales; Salicaceae
Gene name: mannosyltransferase APTG1
Exons: 11
Source: RefSeq, a predicted model, not a curated record